Molecule: ribosomal RNA, 484 nt
Filed under: uncultured bacterium
Lineage: Bacteria
Description: partial 16S ribosomal RNA
Rfam family: Bacterial small subunit ribosomal RNA
Source: RNAcentral
AUUGAACGCUGGCGGCAGGCCUAACACAUGCAAGUCGAGCGGAUGAAGGGAGCUUGCUCCUGGAUUCAGCGGCGGACGGGUGAGUAAUGCCUAGGAAUCUGCCUGGUAGUGGGGGAUAACGUCCGGAAACGGGCGCUAAUACCGCAUACGUCCUGAGGGAGAAAGUGGGGGAUCUUCGGACCUCACGCUAUCAGAUGAGCCUAGGUCGGAUUAGCUAGUUGGUGGGGUAAAGGCCUACCAAGGCGACGAUCCGUAACUGGUCUGAGAGGAUGAUCAGUCACACUGGAACUGAGACACGGUCCAGACUCCUACGGGAGGCAGCAGUAGGGAAUAUUGGACAAUGGGCGCAAGCCUGAUCCAGCCAUGCCGCGUGUGUGAAGAAGGUCUUCGGAUUGUAAAGCACUUUAAGUUGGGAGGAAGGGCAGUAAGUUAAUACCUUGCUGUUUUGACGUUACCAACAGAAUAAGCACCGGCUAACUUCGUG